Molecule: non-coding RNA, 101 nt
Organism: Gymnopus androsaceus JB14
Lineage: Eukaryota; Fungi; Basidiomycota; Agaricomycetes; Agaricales; Omphalotaceae
Source: the annotation of a GenBank genome assembly
GCAUUAAUGGGGUAGUGGUAACCUGGGUCGUUGCCAUAAGUGAUAAGUAAGGGAAAUAUGGCCGUUUCGACCCGCCGGGGGUUCGAUUCCCUCUUAAUGCA